Molecule: small nuclear RNA, 107 nt
Organism: Gorilla gorilla gorilla (western lowland gorilla)
Lineage: Eukaryota; Metazoa; Chordata; Mammalia; Primates; Hominidae
Source: Ensembl
GUGCUUGCUCUGGCAGCGCACACACUAAACUUGGAAUGACACAGAGAAGAUUAGCAUGGCCUCUGUGCAAGGAUAACACACACAUUCAUGAAGCAUCCCAUAUUUUU